RNAcentral lists this ribosomal RNA (446 nucleotides) under uncultured bacterium. RNAcentral describes it as "bacterial SSU rRNA". It matches the Rfam family "Bacterial small subunit ribosomal RNA", at positions 28 to 507 of the family's 1533-position model. The record is from RNAcentral.
GUCGAACGCUGGCCGGCGGUAGCCUAACACAUGCAAGGUCGAGUCGGAAGGCAGCAAUGCUUAGAGGCGAACGGGUGAGGAAAACGUAGUAACCAACCCUUUAGACUGGGAUAGCCACUGGAAACGGUGGGUAAUACCGGAUAAGCUCGAGAGAGGAAAGGCAGAGAAGCGCUAAAGGACGGAACUGCGCCCCAUCAGAUAGUUGGUGAGGUAAAGGCUUACCAAGUCAAAGACGGGAAACCGACGUGAGAGCGUGUACGGUCACAAGGGCACUGAGAGACGGGCCCUACUCCUACGGGAGGCAGCAGUGGGGAAUAUUGGGCAAUGGGGGAAACCCUGACCCAGCGACGCCGCGUGAGGGAAGAAGGCCUUGGGGUCGUAAACCUCUGUUGUGUGGGAAGAAGAGCGUGACGGUACCACACGAGGAAGUCCCGGCUAACUACGUG